This 730-nucleotide ribosomal RNA is filed under the name uncultured bacterium. RNAcentral's name for it is "bacterial SSU rRNA". It matches the Rfam family "Bacterial small subunit ribosomal RNA", at positions 9 to 719 of the family's 1533-position model. The record is from RNAcentral.
GAGUUUGAUCCUGGCUCAGAAUGAACGCUGGCGGCGUGCUUAACACAUGCAAGUCGUGCGCGAAGGUGGCUUCGGCCACCGGAGAGCGGCGAACGGGUGAGUAACACGUGGGUAAUCUGCCUGGGAGCGGGGGAUAACCUGGGGAAACUCGGGCUAAUACCGCAUACGUUGAUCGGCAUGCGUGCUGAUCAAGAAAGCUGGCCUCUACUUGUAAGCUAGCGCUCCUAGAGGAGCCCGCGUCUGAUUAGCUAGUUGGUGAGGUAAUGGCUCACCAAGGCGACGAUCAGUAGCCGGCCUGAGAGGGUGAUCGGCCACACUGGGACUGAGACACGGCCCAGACUCCUACGGGAGGCAGCAGUGGGGAAUAUUGGACAAUGGGCGCAAGCCUGAUCCAGCAACGCCGCGUGGAGGACGAAGGUCUUCGGAUCGUAAACUCCUGUCAGGUGGGGCGAAGGUUGCGGGGCAAACAGUCCUGCAGCUUGACGGUACCACCAGAGGAAGCCCCGGCUAACUCCGUGCCAGCAGCCGCGGUAAUACGGAGGGGGCAAGCGUUAUUCGGAAUUAUUGGGCGUAAAGGGCGCGUAGGCGGCUCGAUAAGUCAAAGGUGAAAUCCCUCGGCUCAACUGAGGAACUGCCUUUGAAACUGUAGAGCUUGAGUCCGGGAGGGGGUAGCGGAAUUCCCAGUGUAGCGGUGAAAUGCGUAGAUAUUGGGAGGAACACCAGUGGCGAA